GAGACACCACUACUGUUAAAUAGGCAGAGCUAAGACUUAGGGGACUGGCAGACUAUUGCAAAAAGGGCACGGGGCAGAGGGACUAUGUUGUGAGCCUGCGAAAGAAGUUUGUGUGGGGACUGUGGGCAGUGAACGCGUUGGGAACAAUAUGGAAAACUGGGAGCCGCCUUGGAAUCUACAGGGCCGGAGAGACCGAGGGGCUCACUAGGUUGACCAGGCUGGUCUUGAACUCCUGGCCUCAAGCCAUCCUCCCACCUCAGCCUCCCAAAGUGCUGGGAUUACAUGCAUGAGCCACCACAUCCAGCCUACCUAAAAUAUUGAAUGCUGUUAAUAAAUCUCCUGAGGCCAGCAUAAGAAGGUGAUGGGCAAAACUAAUGCAGGGUUUCAGUUGUGCAAUUUCACCAUUAGCAAAGCUUUUUGCUGAAAUCUGGCUUUUCAAAGGGAGAGUAUCCAGAAACAGAAGAUGCUGCUCUGAGAGGCUCUUCCUAAUAGAACUGCUGCUUCAGUUUAGCUUGAAAAAGCCCACACCGAGUUCCUAAUGACAGACAUCUGAACACCGGGUCUUCCCACGAGCAAGACCAUGCUAUGCCUCCUGCUCGCUCUGUUCUAUAAGCAACCCACAGAUUGCUCCCUGUGAAGAGGAGCCUGCCAGGGGAGCAGCAUUCCACCAGACCCUGAUUUAGCAAGAUAUUUCCGUAUCAUUCCCCCAACCAGCUGGAAGUCCUCCAUUGCUCUUGUGUAAAAAUCUAACUCAUCUCGCUGAAUUUCCUGAUUUAAAAGUCUAAUUCAUUUCACCAAAAGUGUGACAGAAGGAAACCAAGUACACCAUCUCUCUCUUACCAAACCAAAGCUAUUGCAUGUGCAUUCUGGGGGAAAAAAAUGGUCCAAAUAUGUUAUGGAGGGGGUGCCAGCCCAGUGUCAUCCUCUUACUAUUGCCAUAGGAUCUUGGCUGAUGGCAUCAGAGGAAAAACAAGUUUAUCGAUUACUUUCAACCAUUAAGCUCACUCCUCCAUGAAAAAUAAGUCACAAGUCCAAUGUCUCUUAUUAAAAUAAGCACUGCAAAAUAUAAAGGA
Molecule: long non-coding RNA, 1073 nt
Organism: Homo sapiens (human)
Lineage: Eukaryota; Metazoa; Chordata; Mammalia; Primates; Hominidae
Gene: PGM5P4-AS1
Product: PGM5P4 antisense RNA 1
Source: Ensembl